UGGGGAAUCUUGCACAAUGGGCGAAAGCCUGAUGCAGCGACGCCGCGUGCGGGACGAAGGCCUUCGGGUUGUAAACCGCUUUCAGCAGGGACGAGGCGAUAAGUGACGGUACCUGCAGAAGAAGCCCCGGCUAACUACGUGCCAGCAGCCGCGGUAAUACGUAGGGGGCAAGCGUUAUCCGGAUUCAUUGGGCGUAAAGCGCUCGUAGGCGGUCUGUUAGGUCGGGAGUUAAAUCCGGAGGCUCAACCUCCGCCCGCUCCCGAUACCGGCAGACUUGAGUUUGGUAGGGGAAGGUGGAAUUCCUAGUGUAGCGGUGGAAUGCGCAGAUAUUAGGAAGAACACCAGUGGCGAAGGCGGCCUUCUGGGCCAUAACUGACGCUGAGGAGCGAAAGCUAGGGGAGCAAACAGGAUUAGAUACCCUGGUAGUCCUAGCUGUAAACGAUGGACACUAGGUGUGGGAGAAUACGUCUUCCGUGCCGCAGCUAACGCAUUAAGUGUCCCGCCUGGGGAGUACGGCCGCAAGGCUA
This 527-nucleotide ribosomal RNA is filed under the name uncultured bacterium. RNAcentral's name for it is "bacterial SSU rRNA". It matches the Rfam family "Bacterial small subunit ribosomal RNA", at positions 355 to 896 of the family's 1533-position model. The record is from RNAcentral.